AAUAUUGGACAAUGGAGGCAACUUUGAUCCAGCCAUGCCGUGUGCAGGAAGACUGCCCUAUGGGUUGUAAACUGCUUUUAUACAGGAAGAAACACUGCUACGUGUAGCAGCUUGACGGUACUGUAAGAAUAAGGAUCGGCUAACUCCGUGCCAGCAGCCGCGGUAAUACGGAGGAUCCAAGCGUUAUCCGGAAUCAUUGGGUUUAAAGGGUCCGUAGGUUGAUAAUUAAGUCAGAGGUGAAAUCUUGCAGCUCAACUGUAAAAUUGCCUUUGAUACUGUUUAUCUUGAGUUAUUAGGAAGUAGUUAGAAUACGUAGUGUAGCGGUGAAAUGCAUAGAUAUUACAUAGAAUACCAAUUGCGAAGGCAGAUUACUAAUAAUGAACUCACACUGAGGGACGAAAGCGUGGGGAGCGAACAGGAUUAGAUACCCUGGUAGUCCACGCCGUA
Molecule: ribosomal RNA, 447 nt
Filed under: uncultured marine bacterium
Lineage: Bacteria
Description: bacterial SSU rRNA
Rfam family: Bacterial small subunit ribosomal RNA
Source: RNAcentral